ACUUUCGCUCCUGCAAAUGGUUGCCCGCACUCCGGGCAUUAAAAGGGAAUCCGGUGCAAAACCGGAGCUAUCCCCGUAGCUGUAACCUGAGUAUCAUUUCGGUUCUCUCUUUGCCACUGUCUCGCCUCAGGCGGACGGGAAGGCCACCGGAACAUCAGGGAGCCAGAAGACCUGCCCCUUGCAACUUCAUUCA
This 193-nucleotide non-coding RNA is filed under the name Chitinophaga pinensis. The record is from RNAcentral. Lineage: Bacteria; Pseudomonadati; Bacteroidota; Chitinophagia; Chitinophagales; Chitinophagaceae.